UCCAGAAAUGGCCAUUUUAAUGCAGAAAACCAUGAGAAUUUACAAAUGAGUCACUUUUUGGGCCAGAGCCAGGAGGCCGUGAGGGCAGAGAGGAGGUGGCGGCCGUUGAGAAGCUGGGGCCAUGAGCUCAGCACCUUCACGACCCCUCCGACCCAGGCCCUCGUGUGCCCGGGCGAGCCCUGGAGGUCCCCCGGCCCCUGCCCCUUAGCGCCCACUAAUUUCCUAGUGGGAAGACCUUGGGUCAGCUUUAGGACAGAAGGUAGACAAAUCUUGGAAAUGAGGGCCUGGAGGGCACAAGGCAGGAGUCUGCUGGCUGCUGUUGGCCACCCCACCCGUUGCUACACCCCCUGGGGCCAAACACGAAGCAAAGCCGGGCUGUGGAGCCCCAGGACAUCACCCCUCCCUUGCCUUCCCUCCUGGUGGGUGGCAGAGGGACCGAACACAAGCAACGGAGCAAAAAGGGUGAGGGAGGGGAGCACGGGUCCUGGGGCUGAGGUCUGGGAAGGGGCUGUUUGGAUCUGGCUUGGAGAAAGGGAGGGAUCUCAGAUGAGGCGGCUUGGGGGGGGAGCCGUCAAACCCAGUUCUAGACCAUCCCCCCAAGCUAUGUACAUCCAUCUGUCAGAGAUGGCAUGAUGCUGGUUUGGGUUCAGCACCUCCCACGUGGGGCAUGCAGGGGGAGAUGGGCUGGAGGCUCAGGGCACUGGAGGUAGAAAGGAGCCCUCCCACCUUCCCCUUUCCCCUAAGCCAGGAAGGUCAAAGACACAUCUAAGGCAGCCCAGAUUCUAGCAUGGCCCGAGGCCGUGAAUACUGGGCUUCCCAAGGGGUGGUUGUGGUCCAGGCCCCCCGCCGACUACAGGCACUUCCCCAAUCC
Molecule: long non-coding RNA, 871 nt
Filed under: Lynx pardinus (Iberian lynx)
Lineage: Eukaryota; Metazoa; Chordata; Mammalia; Carnivora; Felidae
Source: RNAcentral